UCCGGAAGGGGCUAUCGUUGUUCGGAAUUACUGGGCGUAAAGAGCGCGUAGGCGGCUUACCAAGUUGGGGGUGAAAUCCCGGAGCUCAACUCCGGAACUGCCUUCGAUACUGGUAGGCUCGAGUCCGGAAGAGGGGCGUGGAAUUCCCAGUGUAGAGGUGAAAUUCGUAGAUAUUGGGAAGAACACCGGUGGCGAAGGCGGCGCCCUGGUCCGGUUCUGACGCUGAGGCGCGAAAGCGUGGGGAGAAAACAGG
RNAcentral lists this ribosomal RNA (253 nucleotides) under uncultured bacterium. RNAcentral's name for it is "partial 16S ribosomal RNA". It matches the Rfam family "Bacterial small subunit ribosomal RNA", at positions 524 to 776 of the family's 1533-position model. The record is from RNAcentral.